CACGUAGGGGACGAGCGUUGUCCGGAUUCAUUGGGCGUAAAGCGCGCGUAGGCGGCUCGGAAAGUCGGUCGUGAAAUGCCGGGGCUCAACCCCGGGACUGCGUCCGAUACUUCCGGGCUGGAGGUAGGUAGGGGAGAUCGGAAUUCCUGGUGUAGCGGUGAAAUGCGCAGAUAUCAGGAGGAACACCGGUGGCGAAGGCGGAUCUCUGGGCCUUACCUGACGCUCAGGUGCGAAAGCUAGGGGAGCGAACAGG
RNAcentral lists this ribosomal RNA (253 nucleotides) under uncultured bacterium. RNAcentral describes it as "partial 16S ribosomal RNA". It matches the Rfam family "Bacterial small subunit ribosomal RNA", at positions 524 to 776 of the family's 1533-position model. The record is from RNAcentral.